GCCUUGUCACACUCUGUGUCACUCUGAAUCUCCCCGAGAAUUACGUUAAGGGCACAUGUGUCUGUGGAGUGCUCAGCCACUUGCACGUUAAUUUCACGUGCAGGCUCUUCCGUUGAUCGGAUCAGCCAAAACCCUCGACGUCGUAAUCGACAGAGUGUCAACAACAACAACAA
Long non-coding RNA from Octopus sinensis (East Asian common octopus), 173 nucleotides. RefSeq lists it as uncharacterized. The transcript has 3 exons. The record is from RefSeq and is a predicted model, not a curated record. NCBI's taxonomy places the organism in Eukaryota, Metazoa, Mollusca, Cephalopoda, Octopoda, Octopodidae.